Molecule: long non-coding RNA, 3569 nt
Organism: Camponotus floridanus (Florida carpenter ant)
Lineage: Eukaryota; Metazoa; Arthropoda; Insecta; Hymenoptera; Formicidae
Exons: 5
Source: RefSeq, a predicted model, not a curated record
CAGUAAUUGCAUUCUUUUUCGGCUUAACCGAAUUAACUUGGACGUCUUUUCAUGUGUAUAGGAGCCUAAGUUUUCGCCUAGUAAUUUUCCCUAGGUCGCUCAUCUAUACACUGCAUAGUAUCUGACCAGCUGUCAUAAUACGCACCGCGUGUUCAAGGACCGCUUAUAUUUUUACUUAUGUAUUAACAACAGUAAUUCAGAGAGAACUAAUAAUUGUUCACCCUAUUACAGAUGCAGAUUAGCAAACGUGCCAGGUGACGAUAAUGACGGCAACAUCCAACACACACAUGUAAUUGAGGUUGAACGAUCCGAUGUCUUCGCAUUGGAUUUUUGUAGUUAUAUCAACGCAAUAUUCGCAAGGGAGAACAUAUCAUAAUUCUUAUAUCGCUACACAGAUAUUAAUGUGCCGAAUAAUAUAUCAAGUUAUGAGAAGAAUUCCUUUAUAUACUGCAAUGCAAUACAAGAGAGCGGAGUAAAUGUCCACUACAGGUAUUCUGCAGUCAAUCCUCGCAUAACCAUAACCACACUGCACGUAAUUUAUUAUAUUAUCAAUGCAAUGCACUACAACAACGCAAUGCUAUAAAGGCACUCCGCCAAAACAGCCAAUGACAAUUAUUUGGCAUAAAAUUAAAUGUAUACGCUCCAGUACCUCGCACCAGUGAAAAACACAGACUAGUCAAUAGAAAUAACUACUACCACUGCAACGUAUACACUAUAUCGCGCUCAUCCAUAUGUAAAAUCAGAAUCUGCCAAUGUAAUUACCAAUGAGGAGGCAAGCAGAAUGCAUCCAUAGCAAUGCAAAAAUACAACUGCAAGGCAUAAGUGUAUUAUACCAAUAAUGUGGUGCACUCCGCAGUACAGUGUGUCUGAUUACGACUCAUCAGCCGUUAUAGACAAGAUGUGUCAGUAAAUCACAUAAAUCAACAGUCAAUCAAAAGGGCGGUAGCAACCAUAUCAUUUACAUGAUGCAUUAUUAUAUGUAUCCAUCUAUAGUUUGUAUACUUAUAAAUUCAAUUUCUAACUCAGUUAUUAUCCAAAUAUACUCGUGUCAAUGUGUAUUUGUGCAAAGUUCUAAUAUUAUCAUACCAGUGAGACAAUAGAUACAACUAUUCAGCAGAGCUGUAUAUACGCUUCACGUUAUAUUCUAUUUAAUACAAUAUUAGUAACGUUAAUAAUGUCAUUUAUAAUUAUAUAUCAAUUUAAUGAUACCAGAUUUAGUGGUAUGUUUGGUACAAUAUUCGAAAAUAUUAUGUUGACAUUGCAAAAGUUGCACUCUACAAUACCAUUUGCAAUUACUAUAUACAGAUAAACCAUAUUAAUUUAGUAAUAUUAUGAUACAUAAGUUCAUCUCUAAGCAGCACUUUUAUUCGUAAAGUAAAGCAGAAUGCAUCCAGACAAAAUCAACAAUACAAUCAGAUUCAUUCAUCUAAUUCAGUUACUAUGCUAUUCACUACCCAACUGCGCAUUCAUAAGUAUCUCCAAAUGAUAACGCUUCUAUUUUUAGGUAUUAUACCUCUAAGGCAAUACACUCAGCAGUUCAAUGCACCUAUUUGCAGCACAUCAACCGUGACAAAAUGAAUGUCAGUAGUUUGCGUCAAGCACUCGUGCAACAGAAAAACAACAACCAAAUAUUAUUUAUAUAACUCCAACAUUAUGUAAAGUGUCCAUAUAAUUUAAAUCUUUUAAGAUUCAAUCUUUGCACUUAAUAACUAUAAUUAUAUAUUAGUAUCAAUGUAUAUUCAUACACAGUUCUAAUUUAAGUAUUAUCAUCCGGUGAAGUAAUAAAUACACUGUUCAAAGCAGAUAUACAUGCGUUUCAUGAAUUAUGUCAUAACAUUAAUUAGAGUUAUUUAUAAUUCAUAUUAGUUAGUAUUACUAUAUUAAACAAUAUUAUAUUUAAUAUUGUGUUUCUUUUAGAUAUACACCAUAUAACUAAACUCUCCUCAGUACGGUGCACCCUUGCGCAACUCGCCAAUAGCAACGAGCAAAUGACAUAGCAAUUCACAGGGAACACGAGGCAACAACCAAGUAUCACCUACGUGAUUCAUUCAACACAAGUGCAUCCGUUUCGCUAUUGCGACAUAAAUUAUACAACUCACUUGCUCACAGAUUGAGUCAAAAUCAACUAUUCUGCGUGUGAUACUAUCAGUAAGAUAUACUACCAUAUAGUUGUACACUAAUCAGUACAAUGCAUCCUUGUGCAGCUCCCAACAGUAACAAGCGAGUGUCGCAGUAGUACACAGGGAACAGCGAAGCAACAACAGCCAAGUAUCACCUACGUGAUUUAUUCAACACAAGUGCAUCCGUUUCAUGAAUUAUAUCACAGGGAUCUAUCAUUCAUUAGUUGAAAUAUAAUGAAAGCUUAAGUUAUAUAACCAUUAACGGUUAAAUGUUCAACAAAAUAACUCAAUUAUUAAUUAGCUAGUUAACAGCAACAAUACUAUAAUUUCAAUUUAAAACAACACUAUAUUAAUGAUUUAUGUGCGAUUUACACCAAGUAUAUAUUGCUUACUUGAAAACCUUAAAAUUAAGGGAAUGAUAAAUCACAAAUCGAUUUCCUUCGGCUUAUUUACAAGUUAUUGUAGUCCUCUUUUCUGGGGCAACAAUACUAACAAGGUAGAAUAAUUACAGUCUAUUUAUUCCCAGAUUAUAUCUGCCUUCUAACAUGUAGUACAGCAGUACGGAGUUGCUAUAAAAUUAGCCAGCUUAUUAAGACAUCAAAAAUAACUUGACUAAAUUCUUUAUCAUUAAUUACACUAUUUUCUGUUGUAUCUAAGAAUAAGAGCUCGCUACUGUAACAUGUAUUAUACAACUCACUUUCUCACAGAUAGAAUCAAAUCAACUAUUCUGCAUAUGAUACUAUCAAUAAAUGGAACAGAAUGUAUCUAAACUAAUUGUAAUCAAUUAGGUUCAAACUAAUUCAAAAUUUAAGUACGUAUUCAUAAAUGUUUCAUAAAUGUUUCCAAACUAAACUACAUUCUGUUUAUCUUUUAGGUAUACACCAUAUAACUAUACUCUCAUCAGUGGGGUGCACCCUUGCGCAGCUCGCCAAUAGCAACGAGCAAAUAUCCCAGCAAUUCACGGGGAGCACAGGGCGAUAACAACCAAGUAUCACCUACGUGAUUGAUUCAACACAAGUGCAUCACUCAAACAAGUAUUCACGCGUGGAUGUUAGUUAUGGCAGAAUCAUAAUUGCCUCUCUACUGUUAUUUAGUAAAUUUAAAUGUCUAGUAAUAGAGGCAGUGUAUACGCCUUCUUACUUAAGACAACAAAAUGAUAAUACUUAUUUCCUUAUUGCAAGGAUCUAUCAUUCAUUAAUUGAAAAUGAAUUACAUUGAAUUAAAAUUAAAAUUGAAAUCGAAUAACUAAUAAAGGGAAAAAAACACCAUUUCAUAACCAUCAGAGUUAUAUAUUCAGCAAAUAAAUGAUUAUUAAUUAAUUAAUUAGCAUCAGUGCUAUAACUCAUAAACUAAAGUAACACUAUACUAGACUAUACUAAUGUGGUUGCUAUACUAUUUAAGUUAAUAUAUAAUACUUGAAUAUCUUAUAAUUAGAAGAGUGACAAGUCA